This is a non-coding RNA of Lolium perenne, 2451 nucleotides long. The record is from RefSeq and is a predicted model, not a curated record. Lineage: Eukaryota; Viridiplantae; Streptophyta; Magnoliopsida; Poales; Poaceae.
AUAUCUGCUCCAUUCUCAGACCCACGCCUCCGCCCCUCGACUCUGCCAGCCGCCGCGUCGCCGCCGCCGCUGAGUUCUCGCGCCGCCAGCGGACGGGCGCCCCGAGCCGCCGCUGUCGCGCCUCAGCAGCUCUUGCCUUGCAUCGGGAGGAGCUGGGCCGAGGACCUCAGCCGCCCCAUGCGCUCGAGGGCGCCCUGCGAAGAGCGCCAGGAGGCGCGCCGGUCGCCGCCAGUCGCGGGUACGGCCACCACUGUCCUCUUCAUUUUUCCUUCCUGCCGAGGAGACUCGUUUGCCCUUGAUUCUCCCCAAUCGUGAGCAGAGGAGGCGGGUGAUGUGCAGAGACUGGGGGACAGAGGAAGCGCAGGGACAAUGCGAAGGAGAACCAGAAUGACAAGGCCGGCAAAGGCCAUGCUGAUAGAUGUGACCAUGGGUGGGGAGUAGGCCAGGAAGCAGGGCGACGAGGGAGGGGCCGGCUCACUGGCUCAGCUUGCAGAUUCGGCGCCGGCGUAGUCCUCCACGAAAGCUGCUGGCCAAGCAGGGCACUUUGUGGGAUGAUAGGCUGCUCCUGGAAGAAAACGAGGACAAUAGCAUCACUCCCACAUGUGAGCUCCAUGCUCAUCGUUUGUUAAUUUCCUAUAGAAAAUGGUGAGAUGCAUAUUGUUCAACUUGUGUAGAUUUCUCUGAAAAUCUAUGGAGAAGUUGAAUAUGACGAGGAUGUGUAUUGGCUAUUUUUUAUUUUCUUGCCAUAUUCUCCAUAUAUAUGCAUAUUUGGAGUUCUUAAUCGAUUUGGCCAGUUUGUUAAUCAGCUCAUUAAUGUGUUUUGAUGUAGGAAGGAUUAUGUUACCAAUAUCCAGAUGCACACUUAUGUCUGAAACUCGUUAAUUAACAUGCCUUGUUGGCGCUGAGCUUUUGUGAUGAGUGGCAAAUUGCAUAAAGGAUCCAAAUAGUUAUUCCUCAGUUUUAGAUUGUUUUAUUCUUAGGAUUUCUGUAUGAACUUUUCCUCUUUGUAAAGAUUCUGAUUGUGCUGGUGCUUGAUGCAGCUGGUUCAGAUGAUUAAUGGGUUUUUCUUUGUAUGCGGAGAAGGAAAAGGAUAUAGGACAUGCUUUGGCCUUAUAGAAUCUGGUAUCCAACCAAGGAAGAAAUGGUUAGAAAUAAUGGACGGUGGUGGACGAUUUUCAGAGCAACCUCACCUGGUGAACAAUGGUGUCUUCCGAGCGACCAGCAAAAGGCCGCAGCAGCUGGUCGAUGGCGAAUGCCGCAACAGGUCGACUCCUCUUCUCUCUCCCGCCAAGAAGAAGUACCAGACAGCUGGGGAGGUUCCAGACCUUCAUGCAGGCAAAUUGGUGGCAAUUAGCAGCAAUGGACGAGGACAUCAGCUGUGUGCGCUCGAGUACCAGGAAGCAAGCCAUAAGUGUCUGCUCCAAGGUUGCCAGUUGUGAUUCUGGUCACUUUUCAAGCAGAGAAGCAUGAUGAAAAUUGGUAAGAACCACUUUUUGGUUUUCUCUGUGAUUUAAAAUGGCAUCGGAUCAUAUCAGUUUUCGAACAUCCACACCAAUGUAUACAUGUAUAUUUGUUCAGCCACUGCAGAGAUGAUUUUCCUCUCAAAUUGGGAAGUUCUUUUCUCUUAAAUAUUUCAGAAUAGUGCCUUUGGAGAUUCAGGUGAAGUUAUAGUUGCAAUAGAAAAAGGGAGAUGGGCCAAUAGCUUUCACUCACUGCCCUCACUAAACAUCUGUUCACUUGGGUUAAAAACUUAAGAUGCACUCAGAUGUAUAUGUGCCCUUGUCGGUGCGGAUUUUUCUAUUAUCAUCUUUCUAUGCAAAUAACUUUCCUCACUGUCUUUACUUAAGAACUGCUACCUGGGUUAAAAACUUAAGAUACACUUAAUGUCUAUGUCUCUUUCUUAGUGCAGAUUUUGUUAUGAUGGUCUUGCUAUGCUGAGAUGCUUGCUCAGAGCUCAUGGAUCAUGCACAAAGAAAUGAGGGAGAUAUUGAAGCCCUAAAGCUGUAAGCUUACACAAAUGAAGAUGGUAAUAACCAUUUACUUAAGUUUGUUGCUUUGAUUCUUUGCCUAAUAUAAACAUGUCUGCCAAUGUUUAUUCCAGACAAAUGCAAGACAAGUUAAGUAGCCGGAAAAUAUUUUGUUCGCUUCCCCCUUCCGUUGCUUCUCUUCUUUAUCUACCUCCCCUUACUAAGAUCUAGAAGUAUUGUCAAAGACGAUCCAGAAGCAGACCUUGCUGAAGCCGAUUCAAGUUUGCAUUCGCCUGGCUUGAUGGACGAAGAACUGUUUGCGGAUCUCCCCACGCUUUCUGCGACACCCGUCGUCAUCUGCAGGCAUUGGAGGCUGCAAUCCUGUCUAUGCAUGAAACAAUGACACACUACGACGAGGAGGAGAUGCUAACUGCUAUUUGCAUCCACAUUCCUCUGCAUAUCCGAAUGCCCCACCUCACAACAA